RNAcentral lists this ribosomal RNA (349 nucleotides) under Netrosoma xanthops. Its description in RNAcentral is "partial 12S ribosomal RNA". Lineage: Eukaryota; Metazoa; Arthropoda; Insecta; Orthoptera; Acrididae. The record is from RNAcentral.
AAUGUUAAUUUUGCUUACCGGGGUACUAUUAGUUAAGAUCUUUAAACCUAAAGAAUUUGGCGGUAUCUCAUUCCAUUCAGAGGAACCUAUCCCGUAAUUGAUAAUACACGAUUGACUUUACUUAAUUUAUUUGUUUGUAUAUCUCCGUUAUCAGAGAAUCUUUUUAGAGUUAUAAUUUUCUUAAUUUAUAAUUGUUAAAUAUUUCAGGUCAAGGUGCAGCUUAUAGUUAAGAGGAGAUGGGUUACAAUAAAUUUUAGUUUAUUAUGGAUUUAUUAUUGAAAUGUUAAUAAUAAAAGUGGAUUUGAUAGUAAUUUGAUUUAUUUAAUUCAAUUGAUAUUGGCCCUGAGGU